Small nuclear RNA from Ochotona princeps (American pika), 107 nucleotides. The record is from RefSeq and is a predicted model, not a curated record. Lineage: Eukaryota; Metazoa; Chordata; Mammalia; Lagomorpha; Ochotonidae.
GCGCUCGCUUCGGCAGCACGUAUACUAAAACUGGAAUGAUGCUGCGAAGAUUAGCAUGGCCCCUGCACAAGGAUGAAACACAAAUUUGUGAAGCAUUCCAUAUUUCU